Molecule: ribosomal RNA, 252 nt
Filed under: uncultured bacterium
Lineage: Bacteria
Description: partial 16S ribosomal RNA
Rfam family: Bacterial small subunit ribosomal RNA
Source: RNAcentral
GACGAAGGAUGCAAGCGUUAUCCGGAUUCAUUGGGUUUAAAGGGAGCGUAGGUGGUCUACUAAGUCAGUGGUGAAAUCUCUCGGCUUAACUGAGAAAUUGCCAUUGAUACUGGUGGACUUGAGUGUAGUUCCGUUGGCGGAAUAUGACAUGUAGUGGUGAAAUACAUAGAGAUGUCAUAGAACACCGAUUGCGAAGGCAGCUGACGAAACUAUAACUGACACUGAGGCUCGAAAGUGCGGGGAUCAAACAGG